AUACGUAGGGUGCGAGCGUUGUCCGGAAUUACUGGGCGUAAAGAGCUCGUAGGUGGUUUGUCGCGUCGUCUGAGAAAUUCCGGGGCUUAACUCCGGGCGUGCAGGCGAUACGGGCAUAACUUGAGUACUGUAGGGGAGACUGGAAUUCCUGGUGUAGCGGUGAAAUGCGCAGAUAUCAGGGGGAACACCGGUGGCGAAGGCGUGUCUCUGGGCAGUAACUGACGCUGAGGAGCGAAAGCAUGGGUGGCGAACAGGAUUGGAUACCCUGGUAGUCCAUGCCGUAAACGGUGGGCGCUAGGUGUAGGGGUCUUCCACGACUUCUGUGCCGUAGCUAACGCAUUAAGCGCCCCGCCUGGGGAGUACGGCCGCAAGGCUAAAACUCAAAUGAAUUGACGGGG
RNAcentral lists this ribosomal RNA (398 nucleotides) under uncultured bacterium. RNAcentral describes it as "partial 16S ribosomal RNA". It matches the Rfam family "Bacterial small subunit ribosomal RNA", at positions 523 to 918 of the family's 1533-position model. The record is from RNAcentral.